This 468-nucleotide ribosomal RNA is filed under the name uncultured bacterium. Its description in RNAcentral is "partial 16S ribosomal RNA". It matches the Rfam family "Bacterial small subunit ribosomal RNA", at positions 28 to 507 of the family's 1533-position model. The record is from RNAcentral.
GACGAACGCUGGCGGCGUGCUUAACACAUGCAAGUCGAACGGAAAGGCCCUGCUUUUGUGGGGUGCUCGAGUGGCGAACGGGUGAGUAACACGUGAGUAACCUGCUCUUGACUUUGGGAUAACUUCAGGAAACUGGGGCUAAUACCGGAUAGGAGCUCCUGCUGUAUGGUGGGGGUUGGAAAGUUUCGGCGGUUGGGGAUGGACUCGCGGCUUAUCAGCUUGUUGGUGGGGUAGUGGCUUACCAAGGCUUUGACGGGUAGCCGGCCUGAGAGGGUGACCGGCCACAGUGGGACUGAGAUACGGGCCGUACGCCUACGGGGGGCAGCAGUGGGGAAUAUUGCACGAUAGGCGGAGGCCUGAUGCAGCGACGCCGCGUGCGGGAUGACGGUCUUUGGGGUGUAAACCGCUUUCGCCUGUGACGAAGCGUGAGUGACGGUAAUGAGUAAAGAAGCACCGGCUAACUACGUG